Molecule: non-coding RNA, 2886 nt
Organism: Leptonychotes weddellii (Weddell seal)
Lineage: Eukaryota; Metazoa; Chordata; Mammalia; Carnivora; Phocidae
Source: RefSeq, a predicted model, not a curated record
CUGAGCCGAAGGCAGACGCUUAACGACUGAGCCACCCAGGCGCCCCAAGAAAUGGCAGAUUUUGAUCAACUAAUUAUCCUUGUACUAAUAUUAAAAAGUGAUGGUGUUGUUUCAGUAAAAUGGAAUAGUCUAAUAGCUGAUAUUUUUGUAUAUUAAAAUAUAGCUGUUAUUAUAGUGGGAAUUUAAAAAUGAAACCAUUCAAAUCAUAUUUUCUUUUCCUUCUCUUUCUGAUAGUGCCAAAAGUUUCUGUUGACAUUGUAGUUAGCAAAUUGUUUUUGUGUUUACUUUGGGGCAUGCAUAUGCAGUUAUCUGGUGAAUUUACACCCCUUUCCCCUGUAGUUCUAUGUGUAUUAAUAAUCUCAAAUAAAAUUAAUCUUCUUAUUCUGCUAGAGAAGAAAAAGCUGGAUCACUUACCAGUAACUGGAGUUCUCCUAUUGGGUAAUCUCCACAGAUCCACAUUCUUUGAAGUUAUUGCGAAUGCCUCGAGGACCAAGGAACCGUUGAAAUUUCCAAUUUCAGGAAGUUCCAGUGGAUGCCCAUCAGGAAGAUUCUCAUGCUGGACAGAAGGGCAAGAGAGGUGGAUCUGUGAGGGAAAAGACCCAAUAGGAUAACUCAAGUUACUGAGAUAACACGAAGAGAGCCUGGUUACCAUUUGGUGGAACAAGCCUGCUGGCUCAAGCCUCUGCCCAGAAAUUUGAUUCAGUCUCUUUUCUGGACAGUCUGGAUGGAGGGAGUGACACAGUACAAAAUGUAAUAAAGGAAGUUGUCAAACCUUCAUUUGUUAUGGAAGGAAGACAUUCAGAGAUCCCUAUUACCUUGGGAGACCAAAUGAUGACUACACCUCAAUUGCAUUUUAUAUCUUGGAGUGACUCUCAAUUUUAGGAAACCUCGACCUGUGUCCCAGUUGGUUGCCCAGCAGGUUACUCAGCAGUUUGUGCCCCCUACACAGUCAAAGAAAGAGAAAAAAGAUAAAGUAGAAAAAGAAAAAAGUGAAAAGGAAACAACUAGCAAAAAGAACAGUCAUAAGAAAACCAGGCCAAGAUUGAAAAAUGUGGAUCGGAGUAGUGCUCAGCAUUUGGAAGUUACCGUUGGAGAUCUGACAGUCAUUAUUACAGACUUUAAGGAGAAAACAAAGUCACCGCCUGCAUCUAGUGCUGCUUCUGCAGAUCAACACAGUCAGAGUGGCUCUAGCUCUGAUAACACAGAGAGGGGAAUGUCCAGAUCAUCUUCACCCAGAGGAGAAGCCUCAUCAUUGAAUGGAGAAUCUCAUUAAAAUUUAUUUUCUCCAAUUUCUUAGUCACUUCUGUCAUAACAUGCAAAUACACAGAUUAUGCCAAGAAGUACCACAUUUUCAUGACAGACAUUCAUGCACAAUCCAUAAUUUGCGUUUUACACAAAAUAGAAAUUUGUUAGAAUUUGUUAGACUUUAUUGCAAUCUAUGCCUACCAAACAUUUUCAGACUUGACAUUUUGGUCUCCACAGUUCAAGGUGCCAUGAAAAUGUGGUUGAAUUAUUCAUUAUGCAGUGUUAUUGGUAAGUCUAUUUUCACUUUUAGUUUAGUGAAUUCUAACACAUAAUUCUUGAAUUCUCUACUAUUGGCAUGUAACGAAUUUAAAUUUUUAUAACAUAGUGCAAGCUGCCUAAAUAUGUAUUAUUUGAGAAUUGUGAAACAAAUAGUUAUAUGUAUACAAGUCAAAGAUCAAUUUAAUCAACUAUUGCUGCAACAGGAUUUUCUUAAUGGUUAUCCUCUUAAAUACACCUGCUGGUACUUGGUGUGGUUAAAUAGGAAAAAUUGUUAUUAAAUAAAGAAUUUGUAUGAACCGUUGCCAAUGUUUUUGACACAUUUUACUAAAUUAUUGUUCCUGAAUUAUGUUUCUGGUUUUAUCUUUGUUUUUGUUUUUGUUUAUCUUUUAAAACAUUCAUUAUUGUAAUGUUUACUAGCAGAGUAGUAAACAAUAAAACAUUGAUUAUUUAGCUUUAUAAUUCAGGUUUAGUGCUCUUGUCAUUGAACACUGGUAUUUUCUGUAUAAUAUAAAACUUUGAAGUUCAAAUAAUUAUAAGCAUUUGGCAAAAACAGAAAAGAAACCUGACAUAUUUUAAAGGCUGCAAUUUUGGAAAAGCUUUAACUUAAUAAUAGUUUAUCACUGUUGUCUUGCCCCAAACUUGUGCAGGGUCAUAGAAAUAUGAAUCUAAUUAAUACAGAAAUGGGAACUGUUGCACAGAACUGGGAAAUAACUAAUCUCAAAUCAGUUUAAUUGGCUUCUUAUUAAAUAUAAUGAUUCUUAUGAAAAUCAUAGUGCCCUAUUUUCAGACACAACUGCCAGUUUAUGCAUUUAUCAAUAUCCUGAAAUAAAAGAAAGUAUUUACAGCCCCACUUAUUAUGUAAAAUUACCAAUAAAAUAUUUUUAUGACUACAGAUUUUGCAUUUUUGUUCACAACUAAUAAUGUGUUUCAUAUUGUAUUUAAAAAUCCAACCUAGAAACCACACAUAAGUACUUCUUAAAUUUUUCUAGGGUCUCCUGCUGCUUUUAGUCAUUUGCUUAAUAUAUAUCCACCUCUAGGAGACUUCUGAAAUAUAAAUUAAAAACAUAACUUGGAUGCAAAAUAUCACUUAAAAACACUAUGAUAGCAUUUGAAAAACAGAAAAAAACAAAACAAAACUGUACACCCUGACAGUUGUGAUAUUUGGUGGUUUCUCGUGGUAAUGUAAUUUUCUGUUUAAUUGCAGUACUUUUUCCAGGCACAAUGGGACUGUCUUUUUUGUAAGAUGCUAGUUGUGAAAUACAGUUAAUUGCAUACAGUAAAAGUCUGUGAUUAAAACAUUUAUAUACCUCAUUCUUUAGUGUUGUUAAAUGAAAAAUUAAAGUUUGUUUUUAUUAUAAGAUA